GUCUGAUACCACUUCUUUGCAGUGUUCACGUUUACUAAGGCACUACCCAAAAGGCGCCACAAGAGGGCACUCCAACACAAGAGAUGAGGUGAAUGAGCAGAAUUUCUGCUGAAAAGAGGCAGAAGGUUCUGUAUGUAGAAAAAGAAACACUGUUGAACCAUGUGUGAAAUAAAUAAAGAAAUGAAAUGAAAGAACAACCUGGUUCUGCUCAAAUUCACCAAUCAGAGGUACUGCCUCAGUCUGCUUCAUCAGGCUGUGUACUUGUUUCUG
Oreochromis aureus is the source of this 270-nucleotide long non-coding RNA. NCBI's taxonomy places the organism in Eukaryota, Metazoa, Chordata, Actinopteri, Cichliformes, Cichlidae. The record is from Ensembl.